GAUGAACGCUGGCGGCGUGCCUAAUACAUGCAAGUCGAGCGAACAGACGAGGAGCUUGCUCCUCUGACGUUAGCGGCGGACGGGUGAGUAACACGUGGAUAACCUACCUAUAAGACUGGGAUAACUUCGGGAAACCGGAUCUAAUACCGGAUAAUAUAUUGAACCGCAUGGUUCAAUAGUGAAAGACGGUUUUGCUGUCACUUAUAGAUGGAUCCGCGCCGCAUUAUCUAGUUGGUAAGGUAACGGCUUACCAAGGCAACGAUGCGUAGCCGACCUGAGAGGGUGAUCGGCCACACUGGAACUGAGACACGGUCCAGACUCCUACGGGAGGCAGCAGUAGGGAAUCUUCCGCAAUGGGCGAAAGCCUGACGGAGCAACGCCGCGUGAGUGAUGAAGGUCUUCGGAUCGUAAAACUCUGUUAUUAGGGAAGAACAAAUGUGUAAGUAACUAUGCACGUCUUGACGGUACCUAAUCAGAAAGCCACGGCUAACUACGUG
RNAcentral lists this ribosomal RNA (497 nucleotides) under uncultured bacterium. RNAcentral's name for it is "partial 16S ribosomal RNA". It matches the Rfam family "Bacterial small subunit ribosomal RNA", at positions 28 to 507 of the family's 1533-position model. The record is from RNAcentral.